Molecule: small RNA, 76 nt
Filed under: Salix viminalis (osier)
Lineage: Eukaryota; Viridiplantae; Streptophyta; Magnoliopsida; Malpighiales; Salicaceae
Source: RNAcentral
AACUCUGUCGAUGAGUUUUAAAGAUAAAGUUUCUUCUGACUUUGGCAUGGCUGAAGAUAAUAUGGUGAUCGGAGAU